RNAcentral lists this ribosomal RNA (253 nucleotides) under uncultured bacterium. Its description in RNAcentral is "partial 16S ribosomal RNA". It matches the Rfam family "Bacterial small subunit ribosomal RNA", at positions 524 to 776 of the family's 1533-position model. The record is from RNAcentral.
UACGAAGGGGGCUAGCGUUGCUCGGAAUUACUGGGCGUAAAGCGCACGCAGGCGGUCUUUUAAGUUUGACGUGAAAGCUCCCGGCUUAACUGGGAGAGGUCGUUGAAGACUGGAAGACUUGAGGCAAUGAGAGGGGUGUAGAAUUCCCGGUGUAGUGGUGGAAUGCGUAGAUAUCGGGGGGAAUACCAGUGGCGAAAGCGGCACCCUAGCAUUAGCCUGACGCUCAUGUGCGAAAGCGUGGGGAGCGAACGGG